GACGAACGCUGGCGGCGUGCUUAACACAUGCAAGUCGAACGGAGUGGCGAACGGGUGAGUAACACGUGGGUGAACUGCCUUGCACUUCGGGAUAAGCUUGGGAAACCGGGUCUAAUACCGGAUAGUGCAAGAUGAGCUCGCGGCCUAUCAGCUUGUUGGGGGGGUAAUGGCCUACCAAGGCGUCGACGGGUAGCCGGCCUGCGAGGGGGUACGGCGACAUUGGGCCUGCGAUACGGCGCAGACGGCUACGGGGGGCAGCGGUGGGGAAUAUUGCGCAAUGAGCGGAAGCGUGAGGCAGAGGCGCUGGGUGGGGGAUGCAGGCCUUCGGGUUGUGAACUCCUUUCGACAGGGACGCGGUACCUGUAUAAGAAGCACCGGCUAACUACGUGCCAGCAGCCGCGGUAAUUC
Molecule: ribosomal RNA, 408 nt
Filed under: uncultured bacterium
Lineage: Bacteria
Description: partial 16S ribosomal RNA
Rfam family: Bacterial small subunit ribosomal RNA
Source: RNAcentral